Aphis gossypii (cotton aphid) is the source of this 379-nucleotide long non-coding RNA. RefSeq lists it as uncharacterized. Lineage: Eukaryota; Metazoa; Arthropoda; Insecta; Hemiptera; Aphididae. The record is from RefSeq and is a predicted model, not a curated record. The transcript is spliced from 3 exons.
UGUAAAUCUGUGUCAAAAGUAUGAAAAGUAUGGUGAAAAUGUUGUCCAUUGUAUGAUUUUUGCUGAUAACGGAAGCUCAGGGAAUCUCAAUCCAUUCAGUUGGUUUUAUAUAAGAAAACGUCACAAUACCAUUCAAGACUCAAAAGGGAAUUUGGUUAACUUGCUAGUUUAUUAUCUAAUUCCUUAUGAGAAGAAUAAAUAAGCUCAGUUCUAAUUAGCCACAUUACAAAUCAAAAAAGUGAAAGAAAAAUGUGUUACCUGAUACAUAGUGGCUAUAGAUAUUGACUUCAAUAAUGACAAACUGAUUGUUCGCUGGUUCAAAGAAUUUAGUUCUAAGAAGCGUAUUUUAAGAUGAUUGUGGAUGCAAAAAAUUAUAAUA